CAUAGGUUAAUGAGGCGAACCGGGGGAACUGAAACAUCUAAGUACCCCGAGGAAAAGAAAUCAACCGAGAUUCCCCCAGUAGCGGCGAGCGAACGGGGAGGAGCCCAGAGCCUGAAUCAGUGUGUGUGUUAGUGGAAGCGUCUGGAAAGGCGCGCGAUACAGGGUGACAGCCCCGUACACAAAAAUGCACAUGCUGUGAGCUCGAUGAGUAGGGCGGGACACGUGGUAUCCUGUCUGAAUAUGGGGGGACCAUCCUCCAAGGCUAAAUACUCCUGACUGACCGAUAGUGAACCAGUACCGUGAGGGAAAGGCGAAAAGAACCCCGGCGAGGGGAGUGAAAAAGAACCUGAAACCGUGUACGUACAAGCAGUGGGAGCACAGAGCAAUCUGUGUGACUGCGU
Molecule: ribosomal RNA, 401 nt
Filed under: Escherichia coli
Lineage: Bacteria; Pseudomonadati; Pseudomonadota; Gammaproteobacteria; Enterobacterales; Enterobacteriaceae
Description: partial 23S ribosomal RNA
Rfam family: Bacterial large subunit ribosomal RNA
Source: RNAcentral